This 1511-nucleotide long non-coding RNA is filed under the name Olea europaea subsp. europaea. The record is from RNAcentral. Lineage: Eukaryota; Viridiplantae; Streptophyta; Magnoliopsida; Lamiales; Oleaceae.
CUGGGCUUGUAUUAUUAGGGUUGUUCUAUGUAUGAUUUUGUUGAAAAACGAUGAAGGGGAAAUUGAAUCGUGUCUUGCUGCUGCUAACUCUCCUAUGUUCUUCUCCUCUUUCUCUGGUUUCUGCCUCUUCUUGUCUGUUUCUCCUAUUCUUCUUCUUCUUUGGAAUUCCUUCUUUUCUCUUACUUUUCUAAGUCUCCCUUCUUCUUUACCUCUAUCAUUGCUGAAUUUGCUUCUCUUUUUUCUCCUUUGACCUCGACCCCCACUUCCCCUGUUCCUUUUUUCUUCUUCAUGGUUAGGUGUCGUAAUUGCUCAGCUCUCUUCUGAAUUUGUCUUCAUUUCUUCGUCUCUCUUCUUAGCUGAUAUAUCUCUUCUCUUUUAUAUAUGUCUUUUACUUGUAAUUUCCUGAUUAUAAUAGAUGAUAAGGAAAUGAAUGUGUCGGUUUAUGUUCUUCAAUUUUAGUAGUUACAAUGUAUAUUCUACAUCUUAAGUUUAUAGCUGCUUGUUAUUUGUUUAUUUUUACGGAAAUUGAGCUCCAACCAUAACAAAUGGUAUUAGAGCAGCUAAAAUCCUCGGCUGUCUCUCGAUUGGAUAGCAUAAUGGAAGAAAUCAGUUGGAAGCAUGAGCUAUUGAUUUCAAUGGUGACUGAAAUUAUUGAGGCUAAAUCAGCCUCCCAAGAUCCAUCCAACCAUUACCCAGAAAUAGCCGAGUCUUUUGAAAAGUAAAUGGACGAUUCAAAUUCUAAACUGGAAGGGAAAUGGGGUUCCUGUUCUGAACCGGAAGAGAAACUGUUGAAGCAUGUCAGUUUUUCCGAUUUGAAUAGAGACAAUGAUUUAGUUGUUGUAGUUACCAAGCAUGUUUCUGAGACCAAAACUCUUGUGGAAAGUAGUUUUGAGAAGUUGGAAUUUGAUUUAGGUGUUGAGAGGAUGAAGAAAACUUCAGUGUAGAGAAUGUAUUAGUUCUUGCUAGUGAUUAUAAACAAUUGAAUAGCACCGUUACUGAUAUGGAUAAAAUUGUAGGACCAAUUUUGGGAGAAUUGGAGAAGUGGGUGUUGAGUGUGAAAGCUCACAGCGGCUGUUAACAAUUUUUCAAUGAACACCCUCUCAUCAAGUUUGGAUAGUGCAGUCCCUCGAGCAAUAAAACACCAGCUUUCAUGCAAGGAUGAAAUUGAAGAGAGGACAAGCCCUGGCAAGGCCAUUUGUUCCUCAUCUGUUCCCAAUGAAAUUACAGAGAGGAGCUCUCCGAAAUCAGCCAGCAAUUGAGGAUACUUUGUAAACUGGAGAAUAGGAAAUUAGUUUUAAUACUUUGUUACAUUGGAAGGCAAAACUUGGAAAGGAUAACCUUGAAUGGCACAACUUAGAUUUUAAGUAUGAAAGAGGCCCCGAUGAUAUUUUCGAGGCUAUCAUUUGGAGUAAAUAUGGGAAGCACUAUUGUUAUGAGAUAGAUUGAUGCCAGUAUUUUGACGGGGGUUCUGAGAAGACUCAUCUCUAUUUUUGUCACUUUUUUCGGGGAGG